UACGUAGGGGGCAAGCGUUGUCCGGAUUUAUUGGGCGUAAAGAGCGUGUAGGCGGCCAGACAGGUCCGUUGUGAAAACUCGAGGCUCAACCUCGAGACGUCGAUGGAAACCGUCUGGCUAGAGUCCGGAAGAGGAGUGUGGAAUUCCAGGUGUAGCGGUGAAAUGCGUAGAUAUCUGGAGGAACACCGGUGGCGAAGGCGGCAUCCUGGACCGACACUGACGCUGAGGAGCGAAAGCCAGGGGAGCAAACGGG
Molecule: ribosomal RNA, 253 nt
Filed under: uncultured bacterium
Lineage: Bacteria
Description: partial 16S ribosomal RNA
Rfam family: Bacterial small subunit ribosomal RNA
Source: RNAcentral